GUUUUAGUUAUUUAUGGCUUUCCUUAUUUUUAAAUGUGCUAGAAAACUAAUAAAUGACCUAAUUUCAACACUGUCGUAGAGGACGACAAUUUUCCCUUACUUCCUCAAAAAUACUCUUAACAGGAACCAAUGAAAGGCUUGUGAAGAAGAUCUUGCCCCACUCAUCAGUGAGAACAUGGUGGUCUAUGUCGAUGACAUGAUUGUCAAAAGAAAGCAAGACAUCAAUCACAAAGGGGAUUUGGAAAAAACCUUUAAGGUCUUAAGAAGCUAUGACAUGAAGCUUAAUCCCAAGAAGUGUGUGUUUGGGUUAGAUCCGACAAACUCUUGGGGUUGCAUAGCGAACCAAUGAGGCAUUGAGGCCAAUCCUGACAAAGUUCAACCUAUCCUCGACAUGAGAUCUCCCAAAACCAUCAAGGAACUGGUUACAUUGCCGCCCUGGAUAGCUUCAUGUCAGGACCUACUGAUAAAUGCCAACCCUUCUUCAAGCACUUAAAAAAAUGGGCAAAGUUUGAAUGCAAUGCCAAAGCUGAAGAAGGAUUCACCAAUCUCAGGUCGUACUUAUCACAUUUGCGAAAAAUCACAAGCUCAACCCAAGGCAAUCCUUUGCUCCUAUACUUGGCAGUCUUGGACCAAGCGGUUAACGCAAUCCUGAUGGAAAGAGAGAAAGAACAAAUCCCAGUGUAUUACGUGAGCCUAAGGAAUACUUACAGGAUAUUCCGUUCUCUAAGAUGGUUGCAGGACUAUACAAGUCAAAGAACACCUGGAAGCGAGCUUUGCAAAGCCUCUAAAGGCCUUAUUGUGUUAAUAUGCUGAUGUAUUUNNNNNNNNNNNNNNNNNNNNNNNNNNNNNNNNNNNNNNNNNNNNNNNNNNUAGCUGUAAAUUGUUAGGUAAAACCUCUCAAGUAAAAGAGAAGAUACUUUACUGCUGACAGGAACAGGGCUGUAAGUGAAGAAGUUCAAAAGCUGGUAGAUGCAGGAUUCAUAAAGGAAUGUUACUACUACCUAAUGUAGUCAUGGUUAAGAAGCCAAAUGGUACCUAAAGAAUAGACUUGAACAAGGCCUAUUCAAAGGACUGCUUCCCACGCCCCAAGAUUGAUCAGCUGGUGGAUUCCACUGGUGUCCAUGGAUGCCUGUUCAGGCUCAAGUGAAUCACCGAAGCGACAAGACCUUGAAAGCUCCAUUUUCAAGUGUCAGUAGCGGGACGUUCUGUCAAUCAGGGAAGAUUUUGUUGACAAAACCUGGAGAUAUCAGAACUGAGAAGCUGACAUGAGUAAUGAUAAAUCCCACGAAAAACACGAUCGCCUGCCAGUGGAAGGCUUUCUGUGCUGGGUCAAUCUAUGCAGAGUGAAUAGGUCCCUAAGGAACCCCUAAAAGGGCUGCCAUUCGAUGGGUAUACGAAAGCGAUGAAGUUGCAUUGACUACAGAACCAUGCCUAUCUUAAGGAGUGAAUAGGAUGAUCGAGCCGACUCUCGUCGCGUCUUUCCCUCACUCUCCUUCUCUAAUAUGAACCUCGAGUCAUCAAAGCCUUGUAAAACCUAGCGUAUUCGCAAGUUUGUGUAUACUUGCCACUAUUUUCAUUGUUAAUAAGGGCGUUUAGGCUUCCAGGAAAAAACUUCAAAUUGGGAGGUUGAUCCUCUCGAUGAGCUGAUCGUACCUUAACCGAUAUAGGUGAACAAGUAAAGUGUACUAGGGUGCUCGAGACACCAUGUCGAAGGAGCUAGACAAAAUGACCUUGUAACUUCGAGAGAAAGGGUUAUAUCCCAUCUUUUUAUUGCGAAAACGGCACAUACUAGGGGGUAGUGACGUUUUAUUAAAAACACAAGACUCUGCUAAGUGGUAACACGAUGUGUGGAGUUUGACACCUGCCUGGUGUUGGAAGGUCAGAAGAAAAAAUGUUAUAAGCUUUGAAUGGAAGCCCUAGCAAGCGGCAACAGUAACUCUAACUAUCUUAAUGUAGCAAAAUUCCUUGUUGCAUAAGUAUCGACCUACACAAAUGGUGUAACGACUAUCCAGUUGUGUCUGACAUGGACUGGCACAAUUAAAUUAUCCGUGAAGAUGCGAAGUACCAACGGCUAGACAAUGAGACCCCAUGCAGCUUUAUUAUAGCUUCGUAAUGACAACCUUGAUCAAAUGUUUAGGAUAGGUGGGUGGUGGUGAUGCACAACGACCUAUCCUAAAAGACCACUCUUUCAUCUAAGGAUACCUAAAUGCACUACUCAUUUGGGGGAAGGCGAGACACUGUGAGAUAGGUAGUUUACCUAGGGAGAAUUCCUCCUUAAGAAAAAUAAAGGUAUGUAAAGGUAGGCUCAAACGUUGAUUCUACUUGUGAGCGUAAUGGUAUAAGCUUACUUGAUUAUGAGAUUGACUGGUCGAAUAGAGAUGAAAGUUGGCCAUAGUGAUCUGGAAGUCCUGUGUGGAAAAGCUCUCGCUCAAUGGAUCGAAGCUACAUUAGCGAUAACAAACUGAUGACUCCCAAAAGCUCUUAUCGAUGGAGUCUUUUGGCACCUUGAUAUCGACUCAUCAGAUCCUGGGGUUGAAGAAGGUCCCAAGGGUUCGGUUGUUAGCCGAUUUAAGUGGUAAAUGAGCUAGGUUUAGAACAUAGUGAGACAGUUCGAUCCCUAUCUACUGUUAGUGUUAAAUGGAGAACUGCAUGAGGCUAACCCUAGUACGAAAGGGCUUGGUUGGGCCAACCUAUGGCAUACUGUUGUUAUGCCAAUAGCAGCUCCAGGAAGCUAAGUUGGUACAGAAUAACUACCGUGUUGCACAAAACCCUUCUCCAUAUAUGUUCUUGGAUAAGGUUUUUGAAUAGAACUUUGAUAGGCUAGAAGUGUAAGCAUUGUGAGGUGCGAAGCGACCUUGUACUAAAGUGUAACGCCCCCAAUGC
RNAcentral lists this ribosomal RNA (2883 nucleotides) under Pereskia humboldtii. RNAcentral's name for it is "bacterial LSU rRNA". The stretch from base 1010 to 2883 matches the Rfam family "Bacterial large subunit ribosomal RNA". The record is from RNAcentral. Lineage: Eukaryota; Viridiplantae; Streptophyta; Magnoliopsida; Caryophyllales; Cactaceae.